CCUACGGGCUGCAGCAGUGGGGAAUAUUGCACAAUGGGCGCAAGCCUGAUGCAGCCAUGCCGCGUGUAUGAAGAAGGCCUUCGGGUUGUAAAGUACUUUCAGCGGGGAUGAAGGGAGUAAAGUUAAUACCUUUGCUCAUUGACGUUACCCGCAGAAGAAGCACCGGCUAACUCCGUGCCAGCAGCCGCGGUAAUACGGAGGGUGCAAGCGUUAAUCGGAAUUACUGGGCGUAAAGCGCACGCAGGCGGUUUGUCAAGUCGGAUGUGAAAUCCCCGGGCUCAACCUGGGAACUGCAUUCGAAACUGGCAGGCUAGAGCCUCGUAGAGGGGGGUAGAAUUCCAGGUGUAGCGGUGAAAUGCGUAGAGAUCUGGAGGAAUACCGGUGGCGAAGGCGGCCCCCUGGACGAAGACUGACGCUCAGGUGCGAAAGCGUGGGGAGCAAACAGGAUUAGAUACCCGCGUAGUC
This 465-nucleotide ribosomal RNA is filed under the name uncultured bacterium. RNAcentral describes it as "bacterial SSU rRNA". It matches the Rfam family "Bacterial small subunit ribosomal RNA", at positions 338 to 795 of the family's 1533-position model. The record is from RNAcentral.